GAUGAACGCUAGCGGCAGGCCUAACACAUGCAAGUCGAGGGGUAGAACACUUCGGUGUUUGAGACCGGCGCACGGGUGCGUAACGCGUAUGCAAUCUGCCUUACACUAAGGGAUAGCCCAGAGAAAUUUGGAUUAAUACCUUAUAGUAUAUUGAUGUGGCAUCACAUUAUUAUUAAAGAUUUAUUGGUGUAAGAUGAGCAUGCGUCCCAUUAGCUAGUUGGUAUGGUAACGGCAUACCAAGGCGAUGAUGGGUAGGGGUCCUGAGAGGGAGAUCCCCCACACUGGUACUGAGACACGGACCAGACUCCUACGGGAGGCAGCAGUGAGGAAUAUUGGUCAAUGGUCGCAAGACUGAACCAGCCAUGCCGCGUGCAGGAUGAAGCAUCUAUGGUGUGUAAACUGCUUUUGUACGGGAAGAAACACCUCUUCGUGAAGAGGCUUGACGGUACCGUAAGAAUAAGGAUCGGCUAACUCCGUGCCAGCCGCCGCCGUAG
This 494-nucleotide ribosomal RNA is filed under the name uncultured bacterium. RNAcentral describes it as "partial 16S ribosomal RNA". It matches the Rfam family "Bacterial small subunit ribosomal RNA", at positions 28 to 523 of the family's 1533-position model. The record is from RNAcentral.